Molecule: ribosomal RNA, 272 nt
Filed under: uncultured bacterium
Lineage: Bacteria
Description: partial 16S ribosomal RNA
Rfam family: Bacterial small subunit ribosomal RNA
Source: RNAcentral
ACAGAGGGUGCAAACGUUGUUCGGAAUUACUGGGCGUAAAGCGCGUGUAGGCGGCUAUGCAAGUCGGACGUGAAAUCCCAUGGCUCAACCAUGGAAGUGCGCUCGAAACUGCGUAGCUAGAGUCCUGGAGAGGAAGGUGGAAUGCUUGGUGUAGAGGUGAAAUUCGUAGAUAUCAAGCGGAACACCGGUGGCGAAGGCGGCCUUCUGGACAGUGACUGACGCUGAGACGCGAAAGCGUGGGGAGCAAACAGGAUUAGAAACCCCCGUAGUCC